UACGGGGGGGCAAGCGUUGUUCGGAAUUACUGGGCGUAAAGGGCUCGUAGGCGGCCAACUAAGUCCGACGUGAAAUCCCCAGGCUCAACCUGGGAACUGCGUCUGAUACUGGAUGGCUUGAAUCCGGGAGAGGGAUGCAGAAUUCCAGGUGUAGCGGUGAAAUGCGUAGAUAUCUGGAGGAAUACCGGUGGCGAAGGCGGCAUCCUGGACCGGCACUGACACUGAGGAGCGAAAGCCAGGGGAGCAAACGGG
RNAcentral lists this ribosomal RNA (252 nucleotides) under uncultured bacterium. RNAcentral's name for it is "partial 16S ribosomal RNA". It matches the Rfam family "Bacterial small subunit ribosomal RNA", at positions 524 to 776 of the family's 1533-position model. The record is from RNAcentral.